RNAcentral lists this RNase P RNA (348 nucleotides) under Candidatus Melainabacteria bacterium. Its description in RNAcentral is "RNase P RNA component class A". It matches the Rfam family "Bacterial RNase P class A". From Rfam's summary of the family: Ribonuclease P (RNase P) is a ubiquitous endoribonuclease, found in archaea, bacteria and eukarya as well as chloroplasts and mitochondria. The record is from RNAcentral. Lineage: Bacteria; Bacillati; Candidatus Melainabacteria.
GGAGCAGUGCAGAUCGUCGCGUCUGUCGAAAGACAGAUGAGGAAAGUCCGGGCACCAAAGGGCUGGUUGCUGGGUAACGCCCAGUGCGCGUGAGCGUGAGGAUAGUGCCACAGAAAUGUUAACCGCCAGAUUUAUCUGGUAAGGGUGCAACGGUGCGGUAAGAGCGCACCAGCAAGAUCGAGAGGUCUUGGCUAGGUAAACCCCGCUGAAGGUGCAAGGCGAAGGUAUAUCUCAAGGAAAUGGCUGCCCGUCAUCUUGAGGUGCUGAUGCCGCUAGAGGGUCCAGGUAACUGUACUCGAAGAGAGAUGACGGUCUAGAACAGAACCCGGCUUAUGCACCGCUCCUUUU